RNAcentral lists this transfer RNA (85 nucleotides) under Frischella perrara. RNAcentral's name for it is "tRNA-Leu". Lineage: Bacteria; Pseudomonadati; Pseudomonadota; Gammaproteobacteria; Orbales; Orbaceae. The record is from RNAcentral.
UGGUGCGGGUGAAGGGACUUGAACCCCCACGCCUCGCGGCGCCAGAACCUAAAUCUGGUGCGUCUACCAAUUUCGCCACACCCGC